UUUUGGAGGUGGCAAGACAACUGGCUUUGGCAUGAUUUAUGAUUCCUUGGAUUAUGCAAAGAAAAAUGAACCCAAACAUAGACUUGCACAACAUGGCCUGUAUGAGAAGAAAAAGACAUCGAGAAAACAGUGGAAGGAACGCAAGGACCGAAUGAAGAAAGUCAGGGGAACUGCAAAAGCUAAUGUUGGUGCUGGCAAAAAGAAGUGAGCUGGAGAUUGGACAACAGAAGGAGUAAAGAUGCUUCAGGGACUAUCUGGCGUUUGUGCAGAUUUUUCAUGAGAGGAUUAAUAAACUAAGAACUUUUAUACACAUCUGACUCU
This is a long non-coding RNA of Prionailurus viverrinus (fishing cat), 321 nucleotides long. RefSeq lists it as uncharacterized. NCBI's taxonomy places the organism in Eukaryota, Metazoa, Chordata, Mammalia, Carnivora, Felidae. The record is from RefSeq and is a predicted model, not a curated record. The transcript has 3 exons.